Molecule: transfer RNA, 75 nt
Filed under: compost metagenome
Description: tRNA-Pro
Rfam family: tRNA
About the family: Transfer RNA (tRNA) molecules are approximately 80 nucleotides in length. Their secondary structure includes four short double-helical elements and three loops (D, anti-codon, and T loops).
Source: RNAcentral
CUCUCUCUAGUGUUAGCGGAAGCAUGCAUCGUUUGGGACGAUGUGGGGUAGGUUCGAAUCCUACGAGAGUGACCA